Molecule: ribosomal RNA, 484 nt
Filed under: uncultured bacterium
Lineage: Bacteria
Description: partial 16S ribosomal RNA
Rfam family: Bacterial small subunit ribosomal RNA
Source: RNAcentral
AUUGAACGCUGGCGGCAGGCCUAACACAUGCAAGUCGAGCGGAUGAAGGGAGCUUGCUCCUGGAUUCAGCGGCGGACGGGUGAGUAAUGCCUAGGAAUCUGCCUGGUAGUGGGGGAUAACGUCCGGAAACGGGCGCUAAUACCGCAUACGUCCUGAGGGAGAAAGUGGGGGAUCUUCGGACCUCACGCUAUCAGAUGAGCCUAGGUCGGAUUAGCUAGUUGGUGGGGUAAAGGCCUACCAAGGCGACGAUCCGUAACUGGUCUGAGAGGAUGCUCAGUCACACUGGAACUGGGACAAGGUCCAGACUCCAACGGGAGGCAGCAGUGGGGAAUAUUGGACAAUGGGCGAAAGCCUGAUCCAGCCAUGCCGCGUGUGUGAAGAAGGUCUUCGGAUUGUAAAGCACUUUAAGUUGGGAGGAAGGGCAGUAAGUUAAUACCUUGCUGUUUUGACGUUACCAACAGAAUAAGCACCGGCUAACUUCGUG